AUCCAGCUGACGAGUUCUAAGUAGGACGAAACGUGUGUCCUGAAU
Molecule: non-coding RNA, 45 nt
Organism: Schistosoma curassoni
Lineage: Eukaryota; Metazoa; Platyhelminthes; Trematoda; Strigeidida; Schistosomatidae
Source: Rfam